UACGGGGGGAGCAAGCGUUGUUCGGAUUUACUGGGCGUAAAGGGCGCGUAGGCGGUCAGCACAAGUCAGUUGUGAAAUCUCCGGGCUUAACUCGGAAAGGUCAACUGAUACUGUGCGACUAGAGUGCAGAAGGGGCAACUGGAAUUCUCGGUGUAGCGGUGAAAUGCGUAGAUAUCGAGAGGAACACCUGCGGCGAAGGCGACUUUCUGGGCCUGCUUUGACACUCAGACGCGAAAGCAUGGGGAGCGAACGGG
This 254-nucleotide ribosomal RNA is filed under the name uncultured bacterium. RNAcentral describes it as "partial 16S ribosomal RNA". It matches the Rfam family "Bacterial small subunit ribosomal RNA", at positions 524 to 776 of the family's 1533-position model. The record is from RNAcentral.